GCCAAGACAGUGUCACAAGGAAAUAUUGUCUGGGAAUUCCAGUUGCAAUCUCUCUAAUGCUCACUAAUAUGUGCACAUUUCAGAAGGCAAAGCUUUAAUACUUGUGCAGAUCUACUGCAUCAAAUAAUUCCCCAGAAAGCCAUACAGCCCCAAAAUGGUAGGAUUAACCUUGAGGGAUCCCCUUGCCAUUUCAUUGUCUCCAUACAUGCAUUCCCUGGUAUGGGUCAUCUUAUUAGCUGCAUUGAUCCACCUAAUCAUCUCCCAAUCUUUCCUUGAGAAGGACUGUAUGAGAACAAAGACUCUAGAAUGACCAAAUGUGGGUUAUUGUUUUAUCCCCACACCCACAAAGUUUUACCCCAUGCCUAUCCACCCCUACUUACCUUACAAUAAGUUUCAUUAUCUUUUGAUCUGAUCCAGUUUACUAAUGGUUUGUAGUAAACCAUUUACUUAAAUGUGUAAUUAUAUUUUUUGUAAUUAAUUAAUUAGACACAUCUAAUAC
Non-coding RNA from Pelobates cultripes (western spadefoot toad), 499 nucleotides. Lineage: Eukaryota; Metazoa; Chordata; Amphibia; Anura; Pelobatidae. The record is from the annotation of a GenBank genome assembly.